This 486-nucleotide ribosomal RNA is filed under the name Phyllodactylus xanti. RNAcentral describes it as "partial 12S ribosomal RNA". It matches the Rfam family "Bacterial small subunit ribosomal RNA", at positions 875 to 1520 of the family's 1533-position model. The record is from RNAcentral. Lineage: Eukaryota; Metazoa; Chordata; Lepidosauria; Squamata; Phyllodactylidae.
ACCCCGCCCACCCGCCAGAGAACUACGAGUGAAAAACUUAAAACUCUAAGGACUUGACGGUGCCCCAUACCCCCCUAGAGGAGCCUGUCCUACAAUCGAUACCCCACGCUAAACCUCCCCCCCUCUCGUCAAAACCAGCCUAUAUACCGCCGUCGCCAGCCUGCCUAGUGAUAGCCACACAGCAGGCAAAAUAGUACCCCACUAAUACGUCAGGUCAAGGUGUAGCCCAUGAGGGGGCAAGAGAUGGGCUACAUUUUCUAACCACUAGAAAACCCACCAUAGGCUAUAUGAAACUCUAGCUGACCGGCGGAUUUAGCAGUAAAUACGGGCAAGACAUGCCCAAUUGAAGUCGGCCCUGGGGCGCGCACACACCGCCCGUCACCCUCCUCAAACCCCCACAACAAAAUAUAACUAAACCACACCAAAACCACAAGACGAGGCAAGUCGUAACAUGGUAAGCCCACCGGAAGGUGGGCUUGGCACACU